AACAUUAUUCUAUGAGCCCAACUGAGAAAAUGAAUGGAAGUUCAACUAAGUAAGAUGUCAGCCCAACUUAAGGACUUAGGCAUCUGGUGAGUGGUUGGACAAGAUGACCUCUGAUUUCUCCAACUCUGAGAUUCUGUGAAUGGAGACAGGAGAUAGGAAUUUGUAAGGCUAAUUGGACUGAAAAGACUGAAUUACUGGUAUAAGGGAGUUCUGGGAAAUUAGGUUGGAAAGGUGGAUUAUGGCCUGGUUGCAUUUACAUCUUGGCUCUCCAGCUGGGCAUGUAGAUGCAUGUUGGGAGCAAAUGCACAUCAAAGAAGAGUGACAAGAUCAGGAAUCUUCUGCUUCCCCUUCUCCUUCCCCUUCCCCUUCCCCUCCCCCUUCCCCUCCUCCUCCUCCUUUUUCUUCUUCUUCCUCCUCUUCUUCCUCUUCUUCUUUUUUCUUCUUCUUUCUUCUUCUCCCUUCCUCUCCUCUCUUUUCAUCUUCCUCUUUUCUAACUUUUAUAGAAAAUGAAUAUCAAAUUCUCUCACUUUUAUGGGCCUCCUCUUCCUUGAAUUCCCAUAUGAAGUAACUUGAGCUCACUUCCCAUAUAAUGAAGGAAAGUUCUAUGCCAGAUACACAAAUCUGUCCUCUCUUUUCCUAUAAAUCUGAAAACAGUAAAUCUCCAUAAAGACAGGGACUAGUUUUACCUACAUCGUCUUACAAUAGUAUACAAAGACUUGCAUGCAAAUAGGACUCACUACAAUUUUUACUUUUUAUUUUUUAAUUAUGGUAAAAUACACAUAACAAAAUUUAUCAUCAACCAUUUUUAAGUGUACAUUUCAGUGGUAUUAAGUACAUUCACAUUGUUGAACAACCAUCACUACCAUCCAUCUCCAGAACUCUUUUCAUUUUGCAAAACUGAAACUUGGCCGAAUGCUGUGGCUCACGCCUGUAAUCCCAGCACUUUGGGAGGCUGAGGUGGGCAGAUCACCUGAGGUCAGGAGUUCGAGACCAGCCUGGCCAACAUGGUGAAACCCCGUCUCUACUGAACAUACAAAAAAAAUUAGCUGGGUCUGGUGGCAGGCGCCUGUAAUCCCAGCUACUUGGGAGGCUGAGACAGGAGAAUCGCUUGAACCCAGGAGGUGGAGGUUGCAGUGAGCCGAGAUGGCGCCGUUGCACUCCAGCCUGGGGGACAAGAGCAAGACUUUGUCUCAAAAAACAAAAAUAAAAACAAAAACAAACAAAAAACAAACAAACUGAAACUCUAUGCUCAUUAAACAAUAACUCCCCAUUCACUCCUUCCCUCAUCCCCUGGCAACCACCAUUCUAUUUCCUCUGUAAAUUGGAUUAUUCUAGGUUCCUUAUAUAAAUGGAACCACACAAUACUUGUCCUUUUGUAGAUGACUUAUUUCACUUAGCAUAAUGUCCUCAAGGUUCAUACAUAAUCUAUUCUAUACCAGACUUUCCUUCCUUUUUAAGGCCAAAUAAUACUCCAUUGCAUCUAUAUGGCACAUUUUAUUUAUUGACUCAUCUAACUAAAAUUAUUUUGAUAAGAAUCCUGUAGCCCAUAGAUCCAUUAAGGCCACAGACUUCUUUUGGGCCUGCAAAAGUCACCACUGUAUCACUUAAAAGUUUCCCAACAUUUCCUGAUUUUGUUUGACAGCCUAGAAUUCUUUGAGAUGCUUUUUAUUCUCAGACAUAGCUGCUGUUCUUUCAGGGAUCAGGGUAUCUUAGGGCCAGGGCUGUGGUUAAAUAGGAAGAAGGGUAAGAUCAAGGCCACAAGUAGGUUAAUAUUACCUUAUUCAACAAGUAUUCACAGGUCACUCUUUUUGGAAAACACCACCUUAGUUGCUUUGGUAGCUACUCUAUAUCACAAUGGCCAGGUGGCCUUUGGGUGGACAGAGUGAUAUAAUUUGUAAAUCAAUGGGCUUGACACUACUUAGACUCUGGGCUUAAUAACCAAGAUAGACUCUUACAGAGAAGUUGUGCUUUUCACACACAUGCAGGCAUUUCCACAAGUCAAGAAACAGCAGAAGAUACUGGACGCGGUGGCUCACGCCUGUAAUCUCAGCACUUUGGGAAGCCAAGGUGGGCAGAUCAUGAGGUCAAGAGAUCAAGACCAUCCUGGCCAACAUGGUGAAACCCCCAUCUCUACUAAAAAUACAAAAACUACCUGGGCGUGGUGGCGCGUGCCUAUAGUUCCAGCUACUCAGGAGGCUGAGGCAGGAGAAUCGCUUGAACCUGGGAGGCAGAGGUUGCAGUGAGCCGAGAUUGUGCCGCUGUACUCCAGCCUGGGUGACAGAGUGAGACUCCAUCUCAAAAAAAAAAAAAAGAAACAGCAGAAGAUGGACAAGAGACUCUGCCUCCCAUCUUCCCUUCACAACUCACCCUCCUUACCCCAACUACCUCCUUCCGGUGGCUUGGUUUUGAGGCCAUGUUGUAAAUUAGCUGCAAAAGAAGACCAGGGAAGACGUUUCUCCUACACCUUGCAAGCCCCCCUGUAUUUUCAGUAUUUCUGAUCAGCAAACAACUAAGUCUUGGCAGCCCAGAAUCCGUUCCUGGCACACACUGCACAAUUCGAGGGGACAUGAGGAGGCAUUGUGUGGUGCCCAUCCAGUGUCAUUUUAUGCAGUUGUCUUGGUGACUGUAUUCAGGUCUUGCAUUUUAUAUUUUAACCUAUCAAAUUAUUUUCUCUAUGCAACAGUCAUCCCUUUCAACUCUUCUAAUUAUAGCUUAAAAUCAGAGGACAAUAUUAAUAUUAAUAAUAUUAUUUAAUUUUGCAUUUACUGUUCAAAAAGUAUUUUUAUGUACAUUAGCUAAAUUAAUCCUCACCAAACACCCUAUAAUUGGUAGGUAACAUUAUUGUCAUCAUUUUUACAUUUGAGAAACUGAGAAAUGGACCCUCGGAAAGCUAAAGGGAAAUGCGAUCAGUAGUAACAUUUUUUUGAGCACCUAUUAUAUACCAGAUCCUUUACAUAUGCCCAAGUUCACAGAGCUAGUCAGGGUCAAAGCAAAGACUCAGCUUGGUUCUCCUGGUGAUUUUAAGGUGGUGCAAUUUCCAUGACAAACCAGCCUACCAGGUGUUGUUUGUCCACCUGAGAAAACUUCUAUUUGAGUAUUGGCACCAAAAUUAGAGUUCUUAUUCUUCAAAAAGUUGAAAAACAGCUGAGGUCAAUCUCCCAAAAGGCAACAACGUUUCCAUUCCAAUUCAUAAAGUCGCGAAGCAGUAAGAUCUGAAGGACACUGUUUUAUUUUUAUCGGAGAUGAAGCUUGUUUUUAUUUACAAUUUCCCUGGACGGGUUUAAGCCCUGAGAAGGAUGAAUUAACUCUGCCUUUGUAUAUUAAACAUUAUCAAACAUCCCCAUGCAGAUAUUAUGUUAUUAAAAUGAGUCCUGUGUGUGAGAUCAUUCUAUCUUGUUACAUUGUACACUAGGGCAAACUAUUUAGAAUAAAUUGAAAUGAAUAAUUAAUGAAAGAGAAGAGAAUACCUCUUUCAAGUUCCCAUAUACACUUGCCCUGUUCUUUUUUCUUGGCUUCUCUUACUUCCUCUUUCCACUCUUUAGUGUCAUUUUGACUCAUUUCCCCUCACUGUUUAUUCCUUCCUUUCCCUCAGAGUAGCUAUAAUGGCAGCCUAGCUACAAGCAAGAAGCCAAUGCUCUCUGAAGGAGAUGGCACGAAAGAUAGGAACAGCUCUUGCUCUUUCCUCAGGAAAAGCACACCAGGGUGUGGAGACAAAAGGACUCCAUUUUGGAUGCUGAUCUGCCAUAUUGAGUCCUGAUUAGCCCCAGUCCCAUGAAUGCCUCCUAAUUCCUCAUUUAUUUACUGUCCUUAGUGUAAGAACAUGUCAAACCUGAUAUUAUCAGACAAACUAUAGGCUAUAAUGCAUAUGGCAUUCUUGCCUGUUUUGGAGGGUUGCUUUUAAUUGUCUUGCUGGAGCACGUAUACCCUUUCCCUGUGGUAUAUAAGCCCUGGGUCUGGGAAGCAACAGUGCAGAGAUCUGCCUUGCCGCCACAUUUCCAU
This 3999-nucleotide long non-coding RNA is filed under the name Homo sapiens (human). Its description in RNAcentral is "HSALNT0041510". The record is from RNAcentral. Lineage: Eukaryota; Metazoa; Chordata; Mammalia; Primates; Hominidae.